UACGUAGGGGGCUAGCGUUGUCCGGAAUCAUUGGGCGUAAAGCGCGUGUCGGCGGCCCGGUAAGUCCGCUGUGAAAGUCCAGGGCUCAACCCUGGGAUGCCGGUGGAUACUGUCAGGCUCGAGUCCGGAAGAGGCGAGUGGAAUUCCUGGUGUAGCGGUGAAAUGCGCACAUAUCAGGAAGAACACCCGUGGCGAAGGCGGCUCUCUGGGCCGUAACUGACGCUGAGGAGCGAAAGCGUGGGGAGCGAACAGG
RNAcentral lists this ribosomal RNA (253 nucleotides) under uncultured bacterium. Its description in RNAcentral is "partial 16S ribosomal RNA". It matches the Rfam family "Bacterial small subunit ribosomal RNA", at positions 524 to 776 of the family's 1533-position model. The record is from RNAcentral.